Molecule: non-coding RNA, 1175 nt
Organism: Notechis scutatus (mainland tiger snake)
Lineage: Eukaryota; Metazoa; Chordata; Lepidosauria; Squamata; Elapidae
Source: RefSeq, a predicted model, not a curated record
CCCAGGCAAAUAUGACACCCGAGCAAGUGACAAGCGUUAGAGGCAGCCAGGAGGGCAGCUCUGACUGGGAAUAGAUAGCCCUGGCUCAGCCGCCUUACGAGAGGCUGCUGGAGACUCCGAAGAUCCCGAACUGGGCCGUGCAGGAGAGUAACGGAACGGAUUGCAGAACUGCGGCCGCUGCAGCUAGCGCGGUGCGCAAUGUGGAUUCCCUUAAAGCUCUUAAGUUCUCCAGCAAAGCGCGACGCAACGUACGGGAGGGAAAGUUAGAGGCUUAGGUGCAAUGCAUCUCUCCAGACCUCCGGUUCCGACGAGGACCGGAGCACACGUUGCGUGCCGCGUACGGGCAAAGGCUGAGCCCCAAGGCUGCCGAACACAUUACACGUUUUAUACCCAACACAAAAAAGUGCGCGAGGGACUUUAUGGAGAAAAAGCAAUGCAGCUCCAGCAGUCCGGGAGGCGGGGAAAAGAAUACACGCAGCACGCAAUUACUUAAUGCUACACUUUAAAAACAACACACAAAGCAUCUAAUUGUAUCUGGGUUGCGUUUGUUCCACGUUCGUCCGCUUCGGAAGCACAAACAGGACAUCGGUGCACAGGGAACAACACACAACACGGAUGGAAAGUCAAGAAGCCACACAAAGACAAGACACGGACGGACAGCAAUUGCCAACACACAGAAACGCAGCUUCGGGUUACAGAACCAAAUCCUCGCCGAUCUCCAGCGCUUGUUCUGCGGCGGGCAGAAAAAAAGGCAAGAGGAAAAAUAACGACAAAUCCACUCCGUGGCUAUUUCAGCCGCUCCGGUUGCGGCUCAACUGUGCUUGUAGCGACGCGGCUGAGUGAUCCAGAUCUGAAAGGAUGCUGCCAAAGAGGAACAGACAGAAGAGUCAGACAGACCCGGUUGAUGCAUCCUGCUAAACUAUGUUUGCUUAACAAUGGCUUGUAGAAAAGCAUAAGCUGCAAGGUUCAAAAAAUCAUACUUAGCAUGCUCACCAAUCUUCCAUAUAACUGGAGAGAGGUAUACAGUGGGGUUAUGCGUACAGUAUUCCAGCCCUUAGUCCUUAACUCUUAAAUAUUUUUUUAUUAAUGGUUUGGAUAAAGAGGUUGGAGGAAUGCUUAUCAAAUUUGCAGGUAAUUAAAAGUUGGAGGAGAUUACCAGUAGCUCAGAAGGUUGG